GGCGCGGGAACCAGCCUCCUCUGCCCUGCCUGCACAAUUUCUUGGUGUUAUGCUUUGUAUCUCUGGUAUAAAGUGACUUUUGAAGAGCAGUGUUACGAUAAGUGUUUUGGAUAAAUGGAAAACAUGUACAAAUAGGGGGAUACCAAAGGGAGGCAUCCCCUGUGCCCGUGUGCAAGCCAGCUAUUUGAUUGUUCAGGGUCGCACCGGCGCUUGCCCCCACCAGCAACAUUCCCCCACACAGCAUGGCCUCGGUGGCCGCUUGGUUGCCCUUCGCUCGAGCAGCUGCCAUCGGAUGGGUUCCCAUCGCCAACAACCCAUUACCGGCGCCGCCCAUCCCAAAGGACAAGCGGCGGCCGGAUGAUGAAAAGCUGCUGAUCAAUGUGUCGGGGCGGCGAUUCGAAACCUGGCGCAACACGCUAGAAAAAUACCCUGACACACUUCUUGGUUCCAACGAACGAGAGUUCUUUUAUGAUGAAGAAACCAAGGAAUAUUUCUUUGACAGAGAUCCUGAUAUAUUUCGGCAUAUUCUGAAUUAUUAUCGCACGGGAAAGCUGCACUAUCCUAAACACGAGUGUCUCACCAGCUAUGAUGAGGAACUCGCUUUCUUUGGUAUCAUUCCUGACGUCAUUGGUGAUUGUUGUUAUGAAGAUUAUCGUGAUCGUAAACGUGAAAAUGCAGAGCGUCUAUUGGAUGACAAACUCUCAGAGAGUGGAGAGCAAGAUAAAUAUGUUUACCGUACUAUACGCGAGCGCAUGUGGCGCGCAUUUGAAAAUCCUCACACGUCAACUGCAGCAUUAGUGUUUUACUACGUAACUGGUUUCUUCAUUGCCGUGUCGGUCAUGGCUAACGUUGUCGAGACCGUUCCUUGCGGCCAACUACCAGGCAAGAAAGAAUCCCAACCUUGCGGGGAACGCUACAAAAUAAUCUUCUUCUGUGGAGACACAGCAUGUGUAAUGAUUUUCACAGCAGAAUAUCUUCUCCGAAUGUUCGCAGCGCCAGACCGCUGUAAGUUUGUCCGGUCAGUCAUGUCCAUCAUCGAUGUAGUAGCCAUCCUUCCCUAUUAUAUCGGAUUAGGAAUAACCGACAACGACGAUGUUUCUGGCGCCUUUGUCACACUGAGAGUGUUUCGUGUGUUCAGGAUCUUUAAGUUUUCGAGGCACUCACAAGGACUUCGAAUUCUUGGCUACACGCUUAAGUCAUGCGCCUCAGAACUAGGCUUUCUUGUCUUCUCAUUGGCCAUGGCCAUCAUUAUUUUCGCUACUGUCAUGUUCUAUGCAGAAAAGAAUGUAGAAGAGACAACCUUUACAUCCAUCCCUUCUGCGUUUUGGUACACCAUCGUUACCAUGACGACGUUAGGAUACGGUGACAUGGUGCCCCACACGCCCACCGGGAAGAUUGUUGGAGGGGUCUGCUCUCUCUCCGGAGUGCUCGUGAUCGCGCUGCCUGUACCUGUUAUUGUUUCCAACUUUUCAAGAAUUUACCACCAAAAUCAACGUGCAGAUAAACGGAAAGCACAAAAGAAAGCCCGCUUAGCGAGAAUUCGGAUCGCAAAGGCAUCCUCGGGAGCUGCUUUUGUGAGCAAGAAGAAGGCGGCAGAAGCUCGGUUGGCAGCACAAGAAAGUGGCCUUGAAAUGGACGAAUUUACGAAAGAAGAAGAUAUAUUUGAGCUCCAGCACCAUCACCUGCUACGCUGCCUCGAAAAAACAACGGACCGGGAAUUCGUUGAGCUGGAAGUGCCCUACAACGGCCAGCCCAACCGGCCGGGAAGCGCCUCGCCCCCGCAGAGCCGGAGCCCCUCGCUGUCCAGCCACGCCAACUUCACUGUCACCUGCUGUGGCCGAAGGCUGUAGACCCUAAGUUGGUUCAGUCCCCCUAAGCCCUCACAAGACGGCGUGCUAGGCGUCGCUCACAUGCCUAAAGGCGGCACCAGCGCAGAAUGCAGAUAUGACGAGGAAUUAAAUGAAAUUCAUAUUC
RNAcentral lists this unclassified non-coding RNA (1974 nucleotides) under Penaeus chinensis. RNAcentral's name for it is "potassium voltage-gated channel protein Shal-like, transcript variant X1". The stretch from base 1353 to 1466 matches the Rfam family "Potassium channel RNA editing signal". Lineage: Eukaryota; Metazoa; Arthropoda; Malacostraca; Decapoda; Penaeidae. The record is from RNAcentral.